AACCCUAAACCUAAGAAGUCAGAUAUGCUGCGCCCCUUUCUACUGUUCAUCUUCCCCAACUCUCAACUCGCCCUCAACUCACCAUUAAUUCACCCGAGUUCACUCAAAAUGGUCCCCCCCCUCCACGUCAUUUGAUUCCCAACGGUUUUGUCAGUAGGGAGUACGAAUUUUCUCUCCCAAAUAGCACAAUUUCGGAUUCAAAAGGACAAUUGUUGGACGAAUGGGAGCCGUGGACAGAUGAAAAUUGAUCCACGCCUUCCAUUUGUCCCAAAAAUUGUUGAAAAAUCAGAAGAUUUCGGAUAUUUUGAGCAGAAGAUUCGAGAAUUUUUUUAGGGUUAUAUAUAGGAGGUAAGGCUUCUUUUCCUGGGGGGGGGGGGGGAGGAAAAUAAAAGAAAAAGAAAAAAAAUCAGGAGAAAAAUCGGAAAAAUCUUCAGAAAAUUUAGUAGUGAAAUUUCUAGUGUUUAAAGCCUUUUCUUCUUCUGGAGCUUUUUUGGAUUCGGCAUCUUUUCAAAGACGAAAAUAUAAGCAUGGUUUUGGAUUGAAGAUUAAAUUGGAGUUUUUUUUAUUGCUCGGGUUUGGAGUUUUGGCACUAUUGGUUUUCUGUCCAAUUUUCUGUUGCAGUUUGGAUUUGUUUGGCUGAUCUAUUAAGCUGUUGAUACUAUCGCUGAAUUUCUUCUCCCAUUUCAGAGUUUCGUUCGAUAUUUUCAGUUGUUUUUUUGCUAAUAGGUAUGUUUCAACACCGUUGUAUUCAUCUUCUAUUUAAAUAAAGUCGUUGAUUUCUGGUUUGGUUUGCUGAAUGCUUGUGAUAGUAUGUCAACAUGAACUUAAAUAGACCUAUAUUAAACUAUUUAUGGAGUUAAGUACUAGAGUUUUGUUAGGUCAAGAUUUGAGGGCAAGCAUGAAGCCAACCACUGAGGAAAAGAAUUUUGGUCCCUGUUUAUUUUUAGAAGUCAAGUUCCUGUAUUUUUUAGUUUCUUUUACUGCAAAAAUAUUCCUUGUUCUACUGUUGACAUGUGAGAACAAUUGAAGUGAGUUUUGGUUGAGUCUGCUACAUCACGUGGUAGCAAAAUUGCAUUAGUUUGGUGCAACAAACAUUCCAUAGUUUUCUUAUUGUGCGCUAUGCACACUUAUGUGUAUUAGUUGGUCAAAUGGCCUAAUUUCCCUGGUCUGGUGAUUUCGCUUAAAUAUUUGGAUAAAUAUCAUGAAUUUGCUCGAAUAUAGUUGUUUUAUUGAGUGCAUGUAUUCGCUCUGUUCUUUUUCUGCAAAACUAGUAGUGUUCAAUUUCAAGUUUGGCCUUAAUAAAAAUGGCAUCAGAUUGGUAGCAAAAAUAGAUCACUUUGAGGAUUUCUACAAAAAUGGUAAUUUAACUUAGAUUUAUCAAUUGAAAAGGACGCUAUUAGGAGCAUUGAAUGAAAUUUGUCCUUUGGUUAAAGUUUUAGAACAGAACCAAGGCAUUCAUAUGAUGAACAAUCCAUAAAGUCAUGCUAUUUGGUAUUGUCUCACUGACAGCAAUAUGUAUGCAUUUAUUUGAUCUUGUACUUGCACCUCUCUUUUCGCACGACACAAUUACCAUGACACUUCAGCCUUGCAUCCAGAUGGAUUUUUGAAUUCCCAAAAGUUUUAAGUUUAUAAAGGUAAGAACCCCGUAGAAUCACAUUUGACACUAGACCUUCAUAUUUUUAUGUCACUAUUUCUAUUUUUCAAAUAGUCUUAUCUUUUUUUGGUAAGUGUAUCAAUCUGCUGCUCUGUAUAAUUUUUUCACUCUCUACUUUGAUAGAAGUUAGGUUCUUAAAUUUUGUACCCUGCUCCUUGGUUAUUGUCUCAGUCUUUUGUUCAUUGGAAUAGUUGAGACCGAAAAUUGUUCAAUUUUGGAAUGGCCAAUAUGUAUCAGUUCAUAGAUUUCAUGCCAACUCAAAUAAAAAGCAAUUUCAAUUGUUGUAAUUGUGUUUGGGAGUAUGACUCCACUUUGGAUGGGAGUCUGCCGAUCAGGUUUGAAGAUUGAAUGAGCUUGAGGCCCAAUAUUGUUAUUCAACAAUGUGGAGUUCAUUUGGACUCAUUGCCGUUCACAUGCAAGCUUCUAAAUUGGGCAUGUUAUUUUGGGCCCAUUCGCACCUCUUAUUUGAUUCAUCAAAUUCCACAAGACCAAAGAAAAACCUUUUUAAUAAUAAGUUAUAGUACUAAUGUUGCUAUUGACCAUUGAGUAGUGUAGUAAAGUAAUAAUUUAUUCGUUGAUCUUCUGCCUACAUAUAUAUGCCUAGAAAAGAAGUUGUACUGAUAAGCCUUGUUUGAAAAAUGUCGUAGUUUGCUUUAGGCUCGAUUUAGACUAGUAUCGUGAUUGGUUAUACGUUCACGUAACAUAAUUGCAAGUUUAAUUCUAAAAAUGACUCGAGGGAUGCGUUCGCGCAACUUCAACUAAACUUUUCUUAAUAAAAAAUAAACAAAGUGUUAUUAAUUGUGGACACGUUCGCGUGACAUGAUUUUAACGCGCCAAAGGAAAAGAGUAUACGUUCGCGUAACUCAAUUCUUUAAUUAUGAAUAAAUCAAGUGAUUAAAAGAGGGUAAAAAGAUAAUUUCACGUAGGUCCUAAAAAUGAAUAGUUAAAUAAUUUUAGCCAAGUAUAAAUCGCUAAGUGACCGUGCUAGAACCACGGAAUCCGAGAAUGCCUAACACCUUCUCCCGGGUUAACAGAAUUCCUUAUCUAGAAUUUCUGGUUCGCAGACUUUAAAAAAUAAAACUUCAUCGACUUGGAAUUUUCAAAUAAACCGGUGACUUGGGACACCAAUUAAAAUAUUCCAAGUGGCGACUCUGAUUAAAUAAUUUAAAUAAUCUCAUCUCGAAUAAUGUCACUUUAAUUGGAAAAACUCCAUUAUACCCCUCCUCGGGUGUGUGAAAAGGAGGUGUGACAGCUCUGGCGACUCUGCUGGGGAUCGAACCCAGAAUCUCUGGUUCAGGGUUCAAGAAUUCGAGCUUGUUAAGGCAAUUUUUAUUUGGCUUUAUUACUGAUAUUACUGUAUUUUAUGGACUCAAUGUGCUAAUUGUCAUUUGUCGCUUUGAUAUUACUUGAACUGUAUUUAAAUGUCUUCUUGCGCCACCCAUCUGAGUCUUCUGAAAAUGGUGCACACGUUCACGUGGCCCGCUUUUUCUGUAGAAAUUAUAACAAAUAGAUCGAGGCUGGGCCAACAACAAGGACGGGUAGACUUUAGUGCUCCCGGUACGUUUCCCCCUCUUCGGCCCCAGUUGUCCGCUCGGGUAACCCAAGUCUAGACCACAAACCCCAAGUUUUUAACUUAGAAUAAUGCAACCUCAUGCCGGAUCCCUAGUAGGAACGUUUAUUUGCAUCACGUGCAUUUGACCUUGGGGACUCAACACAGGGGUUGGGUCCGUCUAGGAUAGGUGUACCCAAAAUAAAGACCAUCCUGAUGCAUCCUACGUGCUAUGUGAAUAUUCAUUUAUUUCGGGUUGCAUGUUGACCGGUUAAUAAAGAGAAAAAACCAAGAGUGAGGUAGGAUAGAGAAUUUACCUGGUUUCUAAAAAUCCUGGUAUUUUAAAAUAUUCCGAAACUCUGCCGAAUUUUGAAAAAAAAAAAGAGAAAAAGGAAAACAUAUUUCAAAAAAGAGUAAGUCAAAUAUCAUGUUUUUAUGUCAAAAUUGCCCGAACUACGCAGGUCUGAUUCUCGCCGGAUGUGGGAUACGUAGGCAACCCACAUAAGGUUCGACCUCAUUUUUACCAAAUAAUAAAAUAAAAAGGUGUUUCAGGGCUUUGGUCAAAACAAUAUGCCGACCCAGCUUCGGUUGUACUUAAGUCAUUUCUCCCCGGAAUAGCUUUAGAUUGCAUUCCAAUUGUCGAAAGGCUAUUUUCGAGAGGAACAGGCAUAAGGUGUCUUUUCCAAUAAAAUACCUACCCCCGACCUCAAAAUUCAUUUGGAAUUGUGAAGGGUGCCACGUUUGCAAAAAUGACCAUUUUGCUAACAUAGCAAUAAAAGGGGUCCUUGUCCGUUGAUUUUUUUUAAAACUUAUUUUGCAAAAAGAGUCCACAAGAGUCAACCCUAACCUUAACCCUCCACAGGUACAAAUGAAUACCGUCCAGGAAUUAUCGCAAUCUGUCAUAGAAAGGGC
Molecule: long non-coding RNA, 4115 nt
Filed under: Nicotiana tabacum (common tobacco)
Lineage: Eukaryota; Viridiplantae; Streptophyta; Magnoliopsida; Solanales; Solanaceae
Description: long non-coding RNA (NTAB_LNC005722)
Source: RNAcentral